This 514-nucleotide ribosomal RNA is filed under the name uncultured bacterium. RNAcentral's name for it is "partial 16S ribosomal RNA". The record is from RNAcentral.
CUAGCGAUUCCGGCUUCAUGCAGGCGAGUUGCAGCCUGCAAUCCGGACUGAGAAUGGCUUUAGGAGAUUUGCUUGACCUCGCGGUUUAGCGACUCGCUGUACCAUCCAUUGUAGCACGUGUGUAGCCCAGCUCAUAAGGGGCAUGCUGAUUUGACGUCAUCCCCACCUUCCUCCGGUUUGUCACCGACAAGUCUCGCCGAAGUGCCCAACUAAAUGCUGGCAACUGACAACAAAGGUUGCGCUCGUUACGGGACUUAACCCAACAUCUCACGACACAAGCUGAAAACAACCAUGCACCACCUGUCAUUCUGUCCCCGAAGGGAACACUCUAUCUCUAGAGCUUUCAGAAGAUGUCAAGAGCUGGUAAGGUUCUUCGCGUUGCUUCGAAUUAAACCACAUGCUCCACCGCUUGUGCGGGUCCCCGUCAAUUCCUUUGAGUUUAAGCCUUGCGGCCGUACUCCCCAGGCGGAGUGCUUAAUGCGUUAACGCCGGCACCGAGGGGUGGAAGCCCCCC